Non-coding RNA from Pantherophis guttatus, 324 nucleotides. Lineage: Eukaryota; Metazoa; Chordata; Lepidosauria; Squamata; Colubridae. The record is from RefSeq and is a predicted model, not a curated record.
CAGAUUUACAACUUGUGCUGUUCACUUUCUGAACUAAAACACAGUGAUGCAUUCACAGCAGCAUGCAUAACAACCCAACUUAAAGUCCAGUGGGUCAUUUUAGGCUUGGCCUCCAGAAGAAUUGAGUUAUUGAAGCCUGACACCCUCUCUGCAAGAUCUUCUGCGAUGAGCAGACCACGGUGACAUGUGUUCCUGCAAAAAGCCUGGCUCAGUGCCAUGCGGUUUUAUAGGUGAUAAGCAGCAUCUUGAAUUGCAACUAGAAGCCUAGUUUUUUGUGCCCCCCCUCCCUAUUUUAGGUUACCAUUUUAAAGUUUAUGCUGCCUG